Molecule: ribosomal RNA, 303 nt
Filed under: uncultured bacterium
Lineage: Bacteria
Description: partial 16S ribosomal RNA
Rfam family: Bacterial small subunit ribosomal RNA
Source: RNAcentral
AGCAGCAGCCGCGGUAAUACGAAGGGUGCAAGCGUUAUCCGGAAUUAUUGGGCGUAAAGAGCUCGUAGGCGGUUUGUCGCGUCUGCCGUGAAAGUCCGGGGCUCAACCCCGGAUCUGCGGUGGGUACGGGCAGACUAGAGUGAUGUAGGGGAGACUGGAAUUCCUGGUGUAGCGGUGAAAUGCGCAGAUAUCAGGAGAAACACCGAUGGCGAAGGCAGGUCUCUGGGCAUUAACUGACGCUGAGGAGCGAAAGCAUGGGGAGCGAACAGGAUUAGAUACCCCUGUAGUCCCUGUCUCUUAUAC